UUGCCAGGAGCACUCUGAUUUCUUAGAAAGU
RNAcentral lists this non-coding RNA (31 nucleotides) under Mus musculus (house mouse). The record is from RNAcentral. Lineage: Eukaryota; Metazoa; Chordata; Mammalia; Rodentia; Muridae.